GUAGUCACCCGGGUUGCCGCAAGGCCUCUCGGGUAACCUACCACCCUUUGUUUAUUACACUUUGUUGCUUUGGCAAGCCUGCCCUCGGGCUGCUGGCUCCGGCCGGCGAGCGCUUGCCAGAGGACCUAAACUCUGUUUGUCUAUAAUGUCUGAGUACUAUAUAAUAGUUAAAACUUUCAACAACGGAUCUCUUGGUUCU
Molecule: unclassified non-coding RNA, 199 nt
Filed under: rhizosphere metagenome
Description: partial ribosomal RNA internal transcribed spacer region
Source: RNAcentral